This 364-nucleotide unclassified non-coding RNA is filed under the name Borreliella afzelii. Its description in RNAcentral is "partial contains 5S-23S ribosomal RNA intergenic spacer and 23S ribosomal RNA". The stretch from base 158 to 364 matches the Rfam family "Bacterial large subunit ribosomal RNA", at positions 1 to 218 of the family's 2925-position model. The record is from RNAcentral. Lineage: Bacteria; Pseudomonadati; Spirochaetota; Spirochaetia; Spirochaetales; Borreliaceae.
UUUGAGUUCGCGGGAGAGUAGGUUAUUGCCAGGGUUUUUAUUUUAUACUUUAAACCUUGAAUUUAUUUUUUUAAUGUUUAUAUUAUUUGAAUAAAACAUUCAAAUAAUAUAAAAAAUAAUAUAUAUAUUGACAUGGAUUAAACAAAGAUAUAUAUUAUUCUAUGUUAAGAUAAAAAUAUGGUCAAAGGGAGCUUUAAGGCGAAGAAGGUCGUGGUAAGCUGCGAAAAGCUUGGGGGAGAAGCAAACAUUUAUUGAUCCCAAGAUUACCGAAUGGAGUAAUCCAGCUAGCAAGAUGCUAGCUAUCUAUUAUCUAAAUAAUAGAGGCGAUACCAGGGGAAGUGAACCAUCUAAAUACCCUGAAAAA